RNAcentral lists this small nucleolar RNA (143 nucleotides) under Myotis brandtii (Brandt's bat). RNAcentral's name for it is "Small nucleolar RNA SNORA48". It matches the Rfam family "Small nucleolar RNA SNORA48". Rfam says of the family: The snoRNA ACA 48 has been identified to guide pseudouridylation of the residue U3797 in the 28S rRNA subunit. Its host gene EIF4A1 (eukaryotic translation initiation factor 4A1) is shared with U67 and snoRNA mgU6-77 The record is from Rfam by way of RNAcentral. Lineage: Eukaryota; Metazoa; Chordata; Mammalia; Chiroptera; Vespertilionidae.
UUUCCCUCUCCCUUGCUCUCUCUCUAAAAAAUCAAUAAAAACAUAAAAAAAGAAAUUUACAAGCCAGGGACAAAGUAACUCCGUAUUUAUCCCAGCUUGGCUUUUAAUCUAUGUCAUGCCUGGUUCGUGCCCUGGACACCUGG